This 4144-nucleotide long non-coding RNA is filed under the name Salvia miltiorrhiza (redroot sage). Its description in RNAcentral is "long non-coding RNA (SMIL_LNC002442)". The record is from RNAcentral. Lineage: Eukaryota; Viridiplantae; Streptophyta; Magnoliopsida; Lamiales; Lamiaceae.
UCCCUUGUGAGAUGGAUCCUCAACCUGCUUCUCCGACCCGCAAAGGAUCUCACGAGUUACGGCUCCUGGGCUCUCGUCACUGGUUCCACCGAUGGAAUCGGGAAAGCCUUUGCUUUCAAACUGGCCGCCCUCGGCCUCAACCUAGUCCUGCUCAGCAGGAACUCCGCCAAGCUCAAAACGGUCUCCGCCCAAAUCCAGGCUACCUUUCCCCACAUAAAAAAUCAAAGUGUUCGAGCUCGACUUUUCAAGCGGAGACGUGGGCCCGGCCCAACUGAAGGACGCCAUCAAGGGUCUCGACAUCGGGGGUGUUGAUCAACAACGUGGGCGUUACUUAUCCACGGCCCAUGUACUUCCAUGAGGUGGAUGACCAAGUGUGGAUGAAUUUGGUGAGGGUCAAUCUACAAGGAACAACUCACGUUACCAGAGCAGUUAUAGCAGGUAUAUAUAUGCCAAAUUUUCUCCUUUUUUUUUAUAAAUAAAAUAAAUAAAUUUCAAAGCAUGCAGGUAUGAUCCAUAGGGGAAGAGGCGCAAUUCUUAACAUUGGGUCGGGUGCAUCGGUUGUUGUACCUUCUCAUCCAUUAUAUGCCAUUUACGCCGCCACCAAAGCGUAAGCAUUUCCUCUCCACGGCCGUCGCGCCACCGCCUUUGAUUAGCGAACUACCCCGGCUCAUUUCCACGUGCUCUAAUUAAUGUUUUAUCGUGUUGUUGAUAUGAUGGACGAUUAGCCAGCGUUACUUUCUACUUAUUUCCGGCAAGCUUACUAUAUAUGUACGCAUAUGAUGUAGAUACUAGAUAUAGCUAUCAAGCCGUUUCCCUUUUUUUUUUUUUUACCUGACCAAAUUUUCGAUUAUAGUAACUAAUAAAUGUGUGUGAGAUGUAGUGUACUUGAAAUCUUUUAUCCUAUUUUUGAUGUUCUAUUAUCAUUUUUUAAAAAAAUUAAUAUUUUUUUGUGUGUUUUAGUUUAAUUUGAAAAUUAUUAAUAAGAGUUCACUAAUCCAAUUAGGAUUCAUAAUUAUCUUUUACAUUAAUUUGUAAUUUUAUAAUUGAUAAUUAAUUAUUAGGAUUGGUUAGUUCAUAAAUAAGGUAUAACUAAUCUAUUAAUUAGAAUAGUGAAAUUAGCAGCGGGACACGUGAUCCGAACUAGUUAUAGACGUACUGCUUACAUAAUUAUAAAACAGGGUGGUGUUUGAGUUUCUCUAUGAAGCUUUUUUAAUUAAAAUUCCUUUUAAUGAGAGCAUAUGAUGUGGUUAAUUACUUGCAGGUAUGUGGAUCAGUUAUCAAGAAGCCUGUAUGUAGAGUACAAACACUAUGGAAUUGACAUCCAGUGUCAGGUAUUAUCAUCAAUGGUUCCAAAAUUAUAAUAUAAUUUUUAUUUUAUUUUUGUAAAGUAUUCAUACAGCAAUAAUGUUAAUUUUGAUUUUAAUUCAACAUGCCCUUGAAACCCAAUUAUCUCACUUGACUAACAUUUAUGAGAAUAUAUAAAUAUACAAUAUAUAAUCAGGUACCACUAUAUGUAUCAACAAGAAUGGCAUCAGAAGUUGCAUAUGUGGAGAAAUCAACGAUAUUCAUACCAACAGCUGAGAGAUAUGUGGAAGCAGCAGUUAAGUGGAUAGGUUAUGAAAGCAGGUGCAGUCCUUACUGGGCCCAUUCUCUACAGUGGUUCUUUGCUUCAAUGUUGCCUCAUUCUCUUCUUCAUUCUUGGAGGCUCUCUGUUGCCAUUACAAGAACUCAAAAAAAACCCACCUCUCCUUAAUUACUUAAUUUAAUUAAGGAAUAGUAGCUGUUAAAUAAUUAAUGACUUUUGCUCUAUCCAUAAUAUUAUCACCUUUUGAUUUCUAGAGGUGAUGAUUUUAUUGAACAUUUAUAAAAUAGAGCAAAAAAACAUUAUUUAUUUAAUUAGUAAUUAACUCUUAAUCUGCCCAUGUUUUGUACGUAAAUUUAUAGUGUUAUCUUUCUUCUAUCAUUUUGUAACCUGUAUCGACUUUCAAGUUUCAUCAUUAAUUUGUUCUAGUAUGUUUAUGGCUUUUGUAUAUAGGUAUUCAUGUGGUGGACGUCGCCAACCACCAAAUAAUUCCUGCGGAAUUACCAAAAUAAAUUAGUAUAAUGGUAAGCAGGGUCGAUCCCACAGAGAGCAGUUAAAAAUCAUUCAAAUCCCUAAUUCUAUAAAAAAAACGGUGUUUUAAGAAGAAUGAAUUAAACUAAGAAUGCAGAAUUAACCAAAUAAAAUACUCUUGAAUUAAAUCAAUAAAAAGGGUAAUUCGGCUCAAAUAAAUCCACUCUAAUUCAAACUCUGAUCAUCAACGCAAUAAUUAAUCAAUCCCUACCAACCAACCAGUUAUAGGAUACCGUGAAACGCAACGGACGUACCCCAAUUCCUACUUACUGUGUCGAUAAACAGCUGAAGACGCCAGACCUGCUUAUUUCCCUUAUUAAAAUAUAACCUAGCUGGAGACGUCAGACCUAGAUUNAAUUUGAUAUACUUUAAUUCCCUUAAAAGACAGGUGUCAACAACCGUGGGCUAUCACGUUGCUUAUUUCUUGGAUUCCGAUUUCCGAAUACCACUUAUUUGAAAGACACGAAACGAAACCUACUUCACAAUUUAACUCUACACUUAUAUUGCAAUGAGACUUAGCUUAAGUCUCAAAGUUGAGGCAGUCAAAAAUUUUCAUGUGUGACAAGUUUUAAAUUUAAUUCUGCAUAUAAAUAGUAUAGUUUUUCCACUUUAAUUUGCUACACUUAUAUUGAGUGAAAAAGCUUAUUAAUAUACUCAUUUCCUUUUGUUUUUCUAAGUGUCUAUAUUUUUGUAUCUUUUUGUCUUGUUUUUCUUAAUAAGUGUCUUAUUUAAAAUUUGAGCGUAAUAAAAUUGUGGCAUUAUCUUUGGAUGGGAUCAUCUAUUUCAUAAUUUAGUAUGUUUCACCAUGUCCCACUCUUAAUUAUAUUUGUCAUAAUUUUUAUUUUAUUUUAAUUUUAAAUUAUUAUAUUUUUAAUAUAAUAAAAAAUAAUUAACAAGGAUUUACUCAUCUAGUUAGGAUUUACUAUAAUUAUUUUUUAUAUUUAUUUGAAUUAAUUAUUGAAUUAAUUAAUUCAAAGUUAGAAUAGUACUAUAUUUUUUUAAAUUUCAAUCUUUAGUGAUAAAUAUUGAUUAUAGUUCAUUAUAUAAUACUAAUAUUUUUAUUUUUAACAAACAAUCAUAAAAUAAAGAGAUCGAGAGUGAGACACAUUAAAUUGUGGGACAAAAGAUCUCAUCCGAAUUAUUUCUAUCUUACCCUUUUUUUUAUUUGAACAAUAAUAAAGCUCCACAAGAAAAAGAAAAUAAUUAAUAAAGCUGCAAAUGUAAAUUUUACUACUUUCUUGGUACGUGUAAUUUCCAAUUUGGUGACCGUAGGCACUUAAAAAAGGAGGAAAAUGUACAAUUAUAUUUCUGGUGUCGGUACAAAAGUUAGAUAGAUUUGAAUUAUCGUUGUACAAUUUACAUUUUUUUUUUGAGACGGCACAGUUAUUAAGUGAAUUUAAAGUGCAGACGAUAAUAAAAGUAGCUAGGUAACUUUUGGGAUACAAGUAAUUGUAAAAAUUGGUUAUAAGACAGUGAAAUAUUAGGUGAGCAUAAAUAUUGAUGUAUAGAUUGGAGUCUUUAUGUAUAGCAGUCAUUUGUGUUUGAAACCCAUCAAUGGGGAAAUACUUUUAUUGGUGUAAUAAUAAUAUACGAGGAAAACGUGGAGGUUGUUGUAUCCAUUGAACACAAGCCAUGUACGUAUAUAUUUCUCAUUUCUAGAGACUUGCUAUAAAUUAAAACCAUCUUGCAUCUCUCUCACAAGAACAAGAUGAAGAUGGUCCUCUCAACUUGCGUUGAUGAGACGGCAACGUGGAUCUUUCUAGUUUCGUGCAUCGGCUUCGUCUGCCUCUUCAAGAAUCUAACCUCCCUUGUGAGAUGGAUCCUCAACCUGCUUCUCCGACCCGCAAAGGAUCUCACGAGUUACGGCUCCUGGGCUCUCGUCACUGGUCCCACCGAUGGAAUCGGGAAAGCCUUUGCUUUCAAACUGGCCGCCCUCGGCCUCAACCUAGUCCUGCUCAGCAGGAACUCCGCCAAGCUCAAAACGGUCUCCGCCCAAAUCCAGGCUACCUUUCCCCACAUAAAAAUCAAAGU